GGGGGUGACAGGUUUCGACUCCGUACGUUGAGGCAGGGGAAGCGAGCCGAGGAAGCCGACGUCGUCUCGGUAAUCGUCGUCGGAAACCAAUAAGCGCCAAGACUAAUAGUCAAGCGCGUUACGCCCUCGCCAGCUAAGGCGGGAUAGCGUAGCCGUCGGUCUGGAUUCGCCUUCGGUCCAGUUCACCGGCGUCAGCUAGAAGGCUGGCCAAACGGAUCCCGUCGGGGGGUCCGUGCGGCGAGAUCAAACCCGACUGGGCCCGUCACGCCGACUCGCUCACGUGAUCGGAGGGGCCGAGUAGAGGCGAAGUGAGCUGCGCUCGGAGAAGCCCUGGCAAGGCGACGGAGGACCCGGGUUCGAUUCCCGGCACCUCCACAG
This 378-nucleotide transfer-messenger RNA is filed under the name Micromonosporaceae. Its description in RNAcentral is "Rugosimonospora sp005885555 Standard tmRNA". It matches the Rfam family "transfer-messenger RNA". From Rfam's summary of the family: Bacterial tmRNA, also known as 10Sa RNA or SsrA, is named for its dual tRNA and mRNA-like properties. Lineage: Bacteria; Bacillati; Actinomycetota; Actinomycetes; Micromonosporales. RNAcentral also lists the same sequence under 1 other name. The record is from RNAcentral.